GCCACGGCUAACUACGUGCCAGCAGCCGCGGUAAUACGUAGGUGGCGAGCGUUAUCCGGAUUUACUGGGUGUAAAGGGCGUGUAGGCGGUCUUUUAAGUCGGAAGUGAAAAUUCAUGGCUCAACUGUGAACUUGCUUACGAAACUGGAGGACUUGAGUACCAGAGGGGAAGGCGGAAUUCCUGGUGUAGCGGUAAAAUGCGUAGAGAUCAGGAAGAAUACCAGUGGCGAAGGCGACUGUCUGGACAUUAACUGACGCUGAGGUACGAAAGCGUGGGGAGCAAACAGGAUCAGAUACCCUGGUAGUCCACGCUGUAAACGAUGAGUGCAAGGUGUUGGGGUCAAACCUCGGUGCCGCCGUUAACACAGUAAGCACUCCGCCUGGGGAGUACGUACGCA
This 397-nucleotide ribosomal RNA is filed under the name uncultured bacterium. Its description in RNAcentral is "bacterial SSU rRNA". It matches the Rfam family "Bacterial small subunit ribosomal RNA", at positions 490 to 890 of the family's 1533-position model. The record is from RNAcentral.